RNAcentral lists this ribosomal RNA (801 nucleotides) under Stachybotrys chartarum. RNAcentral's name for it is "partial large subunit ribosomal RNA". It matches the Rfam family "Eukaryotic large subunit ribosomal RNA", at positions 87 to 923 of the family's 3401-position model. Lineage: Eukaryota; Fungi; Ascomycota; Sordariomycetes; Hypocreales; Stachybotryaceae. The record is from RNAcentral.
CGGCGAGUGAAGCGGCAACAGCUCAAAUUUGAAAUCUGGCCCCAGGCCCGAGUUGUAAUUUGCAGAGGAUGCUUUUGGCGCGGUGCCUUCCGAGUUCCCUGGAACGGGACGCCAUAGAGGGUGAGAGCCCCGUCUGGUUGGAUACCAAGCCUUUGUAAAGCUCCUUCGACGAGUCGAGUAGUUUGGGAAUGCUGCUCUAAAUGGGAGGUAUAUGUCUUCUAAAGCUAAAUACCGGCCAGAGACCGAUAGCGCACAAGUAGAGUGAUCGAAAGAUGAAAAGCACUUUGGAAAGAGAGUUAAACAGCACGUGAAAUUGUUAAAAGGGAAGCGUUUAUGACCAGACUUGGGCCGGUUAAUCAUCCAGCGUUCUCGCUGGUGCACUUUGCCGGUCCAGGCCAGCAUCAGUUCGCUGCGGGGGAUAAAGGCGUCGGGAAUGUGGCUCCUCUGGAGUGUUAUAGCCCUUCGCGCAAUACCCUGCGGUGGACUGAGGUUCGCGCAUCUGCAAGGAUGCUGGCGUAAUGGUCAUCAACGACCCGUCUUGAAACACGGACCAAGGAGUCGUCUUCGUAUGCGAGUGUUCGGGUGUAAAACCCCUACGCGUAAUGAAAGUGAACGCAGGUGAGAGCUUCGGCGCAUCAUCGACCGAUCCUGAUGUUCUCGGAUGGAUUUGAGUAAGAGCAUACGGGGCCGGACCCGAAAGAAGGUGAACUAUGCCUGUAUAGGGUGAAGCCAGAGGAAACUCUGGUGGAGGCUCGCAGCGGUUCUGACGUGCAAAUCGAUCGUCAAAUAUGGGCAUGGGGG